RNAcentral lists this ribosomal RNA (245 nucleotides) under uncultured Prevotella sp. RNAcentral describes it as "partial 16S ribosomal RNA". It matches the Rfam family "Bacterial small subunit ribosomal RNA", at positions 524 to 768 of the family's 1533-position model. Lineage: Bacteria; Pseudomonadati; Bacteroidota; Bacteroidia; Bacteroidales; Prevotellaceae. The record is from RNAcentral.
UACGGAAGGUCCGGGCGUUAUCCGGAUUUAUUGGGUUUAAAGGGAGCGCAGGCCGGCGUUUAAGCGUGCUGUGAAAUGCCGCGGCUCAACCGUGGAAGUGCAGCGCGAACUGGAUGUCUUGAGUGAGUACGACGCGGACGGAAUUCGUGGUGUAGCGGUGAAAUGCUUAGAUAUCACGAAGAACCCCGAUUGCGAAGGCAGUCCGCGAGUCCUUUACUGACGCUAAAGCUCGAAGGUGCGGGUAU